AGGAGUGACCAUAUCAGCACUAAUGCACGGGAUUCCAUCGGAACUCCGAAGUUAAGCGUGCUUGGGUGAGAAUAGUUCUAAGAUGGGCUUGUCUUAUGACUCGCAAUGGACUCCAU
This 116-nucleotide ribosomal RNA is filed under the name Cephalotus follicularis. Lineage: Eukaryota; Viridiplantae; Streptophyta; Magnoliopsida; Oxalidales; Cephalotaceae. The record is from RNAcentral.